AUGUUGGUUUGGAAUGUUGUACGGGGGUUGAACAAUCCUGCUCGGCGUAGCUCUGUUCGCUUGUUUAUGCAGACUUGUGAUGUUUCGUUGGUGUGUUUCCAAGAAUCUAAGUUGAAUAUGGUGGAUACUGUGGUGGUCUCCCAGACUUUGGGUCCUAGUUUUGAUGGGUUUGAUGCCUUACCGGCGGAUAGCACUAGAGGGGGAACCUUGAUCGCCUGGAAAACAGACAGAUUGCAGCUUUCAAAUGUUGUGAAGAAAGAGUUCUCUGUAUCUGCUACAGUAACCUCGUUGCUGGAUGGUAAGGUUUGGAUGGUAACUACUGUCUAUGGGCCUCAAACAGAGCAGGACAAGAAGAGAUUUCUUGAGGAACUGGAAGGCAUUGGUGAAUAG
Molecule: ribosomal RNA, 390 nt
Filed under: Triticum aestivum (bread wheat)
Lineage: Eukaryota; Viridiplantae; Streptophyta; Magnoliopsida; Poales; Poaceae
Description: partial small subunit ribosomal RNA
Source: RNAcentral